AAGUCAGAGGUGAAAUCCUGCAGCUCAACUGUGGAACUGCCUUUGAUACUGGUUGACUUGAGUUAUUGUGAAGUAGUUAGAAUGUGUAGUGUAGCGGUGAAAUGCAUAGAUAUUACACAGAAUACCGAUUGCGAAGGCAGAUUACUAACAAUAUACUGACGCUCAUGGACGAAAGCGUGGGGAGCGAACAGGAUUAGAUACCCUGGUAGUCCACGCCGUAAACGAUGGAUACUAGCUGUUGGGCCUUCGCUGGUUGGGUGAGCGAAAAAGAGAAAAGGAUCACUUGGGGAGUACGGGAGCAAGAAUAGAA
Molecule: ribosomal RNA, 310 nt
Filed under: uncultured bacterium
Lineage: Bacteria
Description: bacterial SSU rRNA
Rfam family: Bacterial small subunit ribosomal RNA
Source: RNAcentral